UACGGAGGGCGCGAGCGUUAAUCGGAAUUACUGGGCGUAAAGCGCGCGUAGGCUGUUGUGUAAGUUGGGGGUGAAAUCCCACGGCUCAACCGUGGAACAGCCCUUGAUACUGCGCGACUUGAAUCCGGGGGAGGGUGGCGGAAUUCCAGGUGUAGGAGUGAAAUCCGUAGAUAUCUGGAGGAACAUCAGUGGCGAAGGCGGCCACCUGGACCGGUAUUGACGCUGAGGCGCGAAAGCGUGGGGAGCAAACAGG
RNAcentral lists this ribosomal RNA (253 nucleotides) under uncultured bacterium. Its description in RNAcentral is "partial 16S ribosomal RNA". It matches the Rfam family "Bacterial small subunit ribosomal RNA", at positions 524 to 776 of the family's 1533-position model. The record is from RNAcentral.